GAGGCUCAGAAACUUCGUAUCUACCAGUGUGGCUGGCAUAGACUCUGGCUGCCAUUCACAGGAUUAGAGUCUACCAGUGCUUUUCAUUGGCUGAGCUAACCAGACACUCAGUGGCUGAAAUGUAGUUCUCAGAAGUUAUGGGGAAGAUGGGGAAUGGAUUGAGAGCAAACAGUCACAGAGAGAGAGAGAGGCAGAGACCCAGGCAGAGGGAGAAGCAGGCUCCAUGCACCGGGAGCCCGACGUGGGACUCGAUCCCGGGUCUCCAGGAUCGCGCCCUGGGCCAAAGGCAGGCGCCAAACCGCUGCGCCACCCAGGGAUCCCUUGCUAAUGUUUUAAAACUCUGAACCUGUGGUUUCUACGGGGGAAGUUCAUUGUGAAGUGCUCCCUGGAAGUGAGGGAAGCAGGCUUGGGAGAAAGAAGUUGAACUACAAUAUAGUCACAACAGAAGGCAUAGCCCAUUCCAUGGAAAGCUCCAGUGCUGGGACAACACUUCAGAGUUAUUUCCUCAUCAAGGCAAGAGAUCUGGGCUUUCAUGUACUGCUUCAAUUAGUCAUUGAAUGUGGGCUGUUGGCUAGGAGAGAAUAUAAGCUUGGGUAAGACAGCUUCUUUGGACAGGGAUUCAACUGUGACCUAGUGCUCCCAGAAGUUGGAGGAAUGGGCAUCAUGGUCUUGAAGGGGCAGGGAGAGGAGGACAAAUUGGAUGGUGCACCACAAUAUUCACUAUAAAACAACUAAGAAUAAAUAAGCACUAUAUUUGUAAAUCAUUGAGCUUCAGACUCAUACAUAGAGCCCACUAUUUCCUGAUUGUGCCUGAAACAUAAGAGUGCUUAUAAGAGGACAAGAGACGAGACUUCAGAGAUGAGUUGAACCAUCUGGAAGCAUAAGUGGAUGCCAAGAAACUUGGGUGAGAGGGAAGUCUAGUGGCAGUAUGGAGAUGGAUUGGCACAGGGACCACUCUUGGGCAUACCUUUCACGGCUCUUGUAAUAGCCCAUUGCAUAGGGACCAAAGCCGGAAUAGGUGCCCCUAAGGUUCUAUUUUUAUUCAGAAUGUUUAAGUGAAUCAGUGUCAAUGGGAUGGAGAAGGGCUGAACUUGCAGGACAUUUUAAAGGUAGCUUUCAAUGGUUUUAAGUGGCUGAAUGUGCAGAUAAGGGAAGAUUUCAGACAAACCCUGUUUUUGUAGCUUGGGAGGCUGUGAAAGAUGAUGCUUGAAGGGAGAUUACAAUCACAUUCCCCCUAUAGGGCCCAUGUUCCCCCUGUGGGUGUCCAUGUUCCCCCUGUGGGGUCCAUGUUCACCCUAUGGUCCAUGCUCACUGUGGGGGCCAGUGUGAAAUCUUGACUAUCUUUUUAAUUGACAAAACAAAAAUAAUUAUUACUUACUUUCUCUUUUUCUUCUUUCAUUUUUCUUUCUUCUGAGGAGACUGUUGCUUCAUUUUGUCUCUUAAAAUGAGUCGUUCUUUCCAUCUAUAAUUUUUUUUAACAAUCUAUUUUAACAAAAAUGU
This is a long non-coding RNA of Nyctereutes procyonoides (raccoon dog), 1500 nucleotides long. RefSeq lists it as uncharacterized. Lineage: Eukaryota; Metazoa; Chordata; Mammalia; Carnivora; Canidae. The record is from RefSeq and is a predicted model, not a curated record. The transcript has 4 exons.